Molecule: ribosomal RNA, 392 nt
Filed under: uncultured Gammaproteobacteria bacterium
Lineage: Bacteria; Pseudomonadati; Pseudomonadota; Gammaproteobacteria
Description: bacterial SSU rRNA
Rfam family: Bacterial small subunit ribosomal RNA
Source: RNAcentral
AAUGGGCGCAAGCCCGAUCUAGCGAUGCCGCGUGAGCGAUGAAGGCCUUAGGGUCGUAAAACUCUUUCACCAGGGAUGAUAAUGACAGUACCUGGAAAAGAAACCCCGGCUAACUCCGUGCCAGCAGCCGCGGUAAUACGGAGGGGGUUAGCGUUGUUCGGAAUUACUGGGCGUAAAGCGUACGUAGGCGGACUAGUAAGUUAGGGGUGAAAUCCCGGGGCUCAACCCCGGAACUGCCUUUAAUACUGCUAGUCUUGAGUUCGAGAGAGGUGAGUGGAAUUCCGAGUGUAGAGGUGAAAUUCGUAGAUAUUCGGAGGAACACCAGUGGCGAAGGCGGCUCACUGGCUCGAUACUGACGCUGAGGUACGAAAGUGUGGGGAGCAAACAGGAUU